CUUGUUUACCGAGCGCCGGGCGGGGGCGGGAGCGCAGUAGCUGAGGCGGUCACCUGCCGAUCCCUCACCUCGGGCUCGGCCGCGGGGCCCUUAAUCCCCGCAGGGGGCAGAGCUCCUGAGGGUCGUUCCGCCCUGGCGUCCUUGGGUUCUGUUUCGGCUUCAGACCUUCAAACACCUGGCGCCUGGGCAAUGCCAAGAGUGACUCUCUGGAAGAGCCUGAGCCUCCGCGUACUCUGUCAGAGCCCCAGGGCAGUUCAAAAGAAUAUCCAAACAGUAAACAAGUGGAACUUCGGUGUUCGCGCCACUCCAGGACAAGGGGCCUCCUAUUUGAACCUUCUGGCGUUUUGCGGCAGCGGUGGCCAUCCUUGCUUUCUGUUUUCUCGUCUGUGUAACGGGGAGCGAGGUCCCUAUGUGAUGCACUGCUGUGAUGGGCUCCAAUUCUAGGCAUUGUGAGCAGCCUCCCCACGCCAUCCUGGUACCCUGGUUGUUUUUUUUUUUUUUUUAAAUCCCCAUAAGCCUUCCUUGGGAGGGGGGAAUAGCCUUUCCCAAGGGCCCUUCCUAGUUUUGUGGGCAUGGAGAAUUUGCUCUUGAUGGGGGAAAGUUAUCACCUCAGAGGACGAAGGACAGACUGCCUAGGGACUGGGUCACUGGGGCCAGCCUGGGAGAGCCAGGUUGCUGGCAUCCACAGCGCUCACCCUAGCUGAGCUCUGAAGGCCACAGACAGGUCUCUUACCCCCAGGGAAGAGUGAGGACAAGCCAGUGUGUGUGGCUGAAUGACAGUGGAUCUGGUUGGAGCCCAAGUUUGGGACAGUGCUCAUAGGCCCCAGCAGCUGUGACCCAUGCCCACUGCCAGUGUUUUCUCAUCCAGAGGCUUAAUUCCCUGGGGAGGGAGGCAGGCAGGCUGAGGACAGAUGAAGGAGCUGAGGCUUAGAGCAGGGGAGUUCCAGGUCACCAAAGGAGCUGGUGACAGCUGCAACUAUGGCCCAAACCCUCAGUUAGGGAGAAGCAAUUGCUUCCAGGCCAGCCAGGGCAAGGCAAGUUCUUGAGCAGGGGGCUGCUGCAGAGCAGAUGAAGCACUGGAGACUAUUGGUGUUGGAGGCAGGGUUUCCAGUCCUGCCUUCUGGUUCCCAGCCCUUUGACUUUGGGUAUGUUAUCUUCCCUCUGUGGGAAAAUGGGGAUAGGUCCCAGAUCUGCCAUGACUUUUAGAAGGUACUUUGUGAAUGACCUUUACCUACUUGAGUGCAUGACAUGUUCAUAUACCGGUGUUGGGGUCAGGGGAAACCUCUUCCAGGGACUUCUCCCUCCCCUGUAUUCCCUGGCUCAGAGAGAGGCCCCAUACCCUUGCUCCCCUCAACCCUGCUAGCAUGUCUGGGUGGCCCCUGAGCUUGGUAAAUAUUUGUCUCUGCCCUAGUUGGGGGCUGCUGAAAUGUUCUGUCCUGUGGCUCAUUCAGCUAGGCUUCUACCUUAGGCUGUGAAGAUUCUGGAAGAAAGCAAAUGUGCAAGGUCAGGUCUUCUGGGAUCUCUCCAGCUCUCUUGUCUACUUGUCCUGAUCCUCUUGUCCCCAUUUACUCCUGAAGCUCAGAAGCUUGUGUUAGAUCUAUGCAGGAAGAGGGGAUACAUGCCUCUAAUGAGCUCUCCCUCUUGAGGUGGAAGAGCUGGGACUUUGGGUCCAAAUGUCAGCUGAGUAGGCCAUGGGAGUGAGUCCCACAGCUUCUGUAAGCUUGCUUCUUCACCCCUGAAAAGAUGGUGGAAUGGUUGGGAUCAGUGCCUGGUACCUCCUUCUUCUUUCCACUGCUGUGCAGUGACCCCCAGAUGUUUGGGCCUGUUCAAUUUAACCAAUAAAAACAAGGGUAAGGAUGUCUCCAAUAUUUAUUGAGUGCUCUGUGCAAUGGUGGAGUGGUAAAUGUUUAACAAUCAACUCUACAAAAAGAUUUCUGUUGUGUAGCUUUUGCCCAAUUUCUGUGCUGUCAGUACUCUCACCAUGCCCAUUUCAAGCUACCAAUCAACAUGAUAUCAUUGAAUGUGCAGUUGGGAGCCAACAAAUGUUGGUCAACUGCAGCAUAAUACUGCAUGCAGGAUUGGCUAUCUAAUUUGUAAACUCCAGUACAGAAUGAAAUUGUAGACUUCCUUGUUCAAAAAGCAAGAUACAUUUUUUUGCUGUAUUUCAUGAUCUCUCUCACUACAUGCUCCUUCUUUUUAAAAAUUUGCUAUUUAAUAUAUCCAAUAUCAUUCCUGC
This 2236-nucleotide long non-coding RNA is filed under the name Marmota monax (woodchuck). The record is from RNAcentral. Lineage: Eukaryota; Metazoa; Chordata; Mammalia; Rodentia; Sciuridae.